AAUAUUGCGCAAUGGGGGGAACCCUGACGCAGCAACGCCGCGUGAGUGAAGAAGGCCUUCGGGUCGUAAAACUCUGUCAUUAGGGAAGAAUAAAGUGACGGUACCUAAUGAGGAAGCCCCGGCUAACUACGUGCCAGCAGCCGCGGUAAUACGUAGGGGGCGAGCGUUAUCCGGAAUUAUUGGGCGUAAAGGGUGCGUAGGCGGCUUUUUAAGUCAGAUGUGAAAGGCUACGGCUUAACCGUAGUUAGCAUUUGAAACUAAAAGGCUUGAGUGCAGGAGAGGAGAGUGGAAUUCCUAGUGUAGCGGUGAAAUGCGUAGAUAUUAGGAGGAACACCAGUGGCGAAGGCGACUCUCUGGACUGCAACUGACGCUGAGGCACGAAAGCGUGGGGAGCGAAC
RNAcentral lists this ribosomal RNA (398 nucleotides) under uncultured bacterium. RNAcentral describes it as "partial 16S ribosomal RNA". It matches the Rfam family "Bacterial small subunit ribosomal RNA", at positions 360 to 773 of the family's 1533-position model. The record is from RNAcentral.